GGACUACCGGGGUAUCUAAUCCUGUUCGCUCCCCACGCUUUCGCUCCUCAGCGUCAGUUCCGGCCCAGACCACCGCCUUCGCCACCGGUGUUCCUCCUGAUAUCUGCGCAUUUCACCGCUACACCAGGAAUUCCGUGGUCCCCUACCGGACUCUAGCCAUUGCAGUAUCGAGUGGCGGCUCCAGGUUGAGCCUGGAGGUUUCACACCCGACUUGCAAAGCCGCCUACGAGCUCUUUACGCCCAAUGAAUCCGGACAACGCUCGCCCCCUACGUAUUACCGCGGCUGCUGGCAC
RNAcentral lists this ribosomal RNA (293 nucleotides) under uncultured bacterium. RNAcentral's name for it is "partial 16S ribosomal RNA". The record is from RNAcentral.